GCCAACAAGGGAGAUGGAGGGAGAGGUUCUGCUUCUCGUUUGCUAAAACAAAAUGGAGCUCUUACUAUUUCCUUGUAUGAGAGUACAUCACUACAAUAGUAGAGUUGGCCACCUCUCCUCUCGAAUUGAGGAUAUAUACAAAGAACAAACUCGUUCCUACAUUCUCAGAAAUAAAUGUAAAGUUUCUCCUCUAUGGAAUUUUGCAAUAUGUUACACUGUUCCAACAACUUACUUAAUUUGUCAGCUUCUUUAGCAGUUUUGCCAGCACACGUCGCUUCAACACCGGCAGUGUUUAGUCCCCUGGUUACAUGAUCAAUAUUAUCUGUGACAAACUGUGCAGAAGUCCUUUCAUUCUCCGUCAAGUCAUUUGUUCUAACAGCCCCCCAAACCCCACCGUUUGAGACUGUCCCUUGCAGAGGUUGAAAAGCUUCCAGCUGUGGCUGACCCCUUAUUGGUAGAAAGGGAGUACAGCCAACAAUUAUUUCAUCUAAAGAGGGUUGAUUUAUGUAAGGCAUAGCUACAUUUCCUUCUGGCACAAACUCAUCAAUAAUAAGUGGAGUCGGAUCAACAUGAUGAUGCCUUAAAAUAUAGGCGGAAGAGACUGCACCAUUGGAUAAACUUGUCAACCGCCAAUUAAAGAUCCGUCUGAAAACUGAGAUCCACUUUGGAAUAAUAUAGUAGCACGAGUCAUGGAGCUCAAGUCGAGCACUUUUUUGCAGCAUUACCUGUGCCUCUUUUAUUGCUAAGUUAAAUGUCAUCAUUCCACUUGAUUGAGUCAUGUAUCGGAUCAAGCAAUUCUCAAGUUGUGAUCUCAGGUUCUCAAUCUCUUCAACUGAUUUAGCACCUACACCAGACCAGGAUAUAUCGUCGGGAAAAGCAGGGAGUUUACAUUCCCUUAGCGCGGACAUAAGUGGUUCAAUUCUUGCUGCUGAGCUCCACCCUAUGCUUGGCAAGUACCACUUCACCACUAUAUGCUCAUCACAGGAAUCUUGUAGCAAAGAAAUCUCAGGACAAGGCCAACUGAUGGGGUUUGAUUUGGCAGCAGCAGAAAUUUCCCCCAGAGACCAAUCCAAGGAUUCAUUGAAGGCUGAAAUACAGUGAUUUGGAUCUAAUUCAUGAUCACUCCUCCUUUCAAGGACACCCAGCGAGGGAUUCAAGCGGGUUAGAAUCAGUUCACGAGUCCUUAUGCAGUGAAUAUCAGGUUGUAUGGGUGAUUCACUAGCCAGCCACUGUAGUCCUUCCCUUAAUUUUUCAUCACUGAAAAAAGCAUCGGAGUAUUCUGUCUCUUUAUCUCCAGCAAGAAAAACAACCAGAAAGCUACUUAUCCGUGAUUUUUCAAUGUCAUGGAGACCUAAUUCACUGACUAUAGUGGAGGAAGGAUCUUGAACCUCUUUAUUAUAAGAGCCACAUAAGACCAGGAGGGGCAAGCCGGAAUCAGAAGGUAUUGACAUGAGCAGGUUCUGAAACUGGGCUUUCUGUACGUUCCAUGGGAUGCUCUCAGAUACAACGUACAAAAUCGCACUUGCACCAUCUAUUGUCUCAUUCAAAUUACCAAAUUUAGCAUCCCUAACAACUGAUAAGCAACAGGUCAGGUCACUAACAGAUAGGCUGGGAACCCAUUUUUUCCAUAUUGACAUGCCAGAAGAUGAAAUUAGCAGAUCAUCAUCAUCAUCAUUUUUAGAAGGCAUGAUCUUUGAAAGCAACCAUGGGCCCACUGCCACCACUUUUUCUGCUUGAUUGUUUAUCUGAGAAUACAAAACGAUUUUCCAGCAUAGGCAUCUAACAGCAGGAUUUCUUUUGCCAAGUGUAUCCGCAACGACAUCAGAAACAUUGAGGCUUGACCAUGAUUGUUUAUGUUUUUCAUAUCUCUUCCUCAUAACAUGCUCAAUAUCAAACUCACCAGCAGUGCUCAGUUGAUCUUUAGCCUUUCGAAUUGGUGGUCCCAAUGACAAUGAACUCAGUGCAGCAUUUGCUACUAUCUGCUUUUGCUCACGCAAUUCCCUUUGUUUUGAAGCACGCCGCCUCCAUAAUCUGAUGAUCAGCUUGAGCUUUGCCUGAGCAACUUCUUCAUCAUCGUAAUUUUCCAUAGCUUCAUCAUUUUCCUUUUCUUCAUAUAUAUCAGGAGGUUCUUCAUCCUUUGUGUCAUUAGAAAACACAGGGACCUUAUCUUCCACAGCAUAACCAUAUUUAGCACUUGGGGAUCUCUCCUGCAAAGAGGUUCUUGACACAACUUGCAGUGGCACACCUUCCAUGCCUGAUAGCAUAUUCUUCUCAGCAGAGACGCUGGAAAGGAUAUCACCAUUUGGUUUCUCUACCUCAUUAAAUUUAGCUGGCAGAGAUACAGGGGGAUUAUGGACCGAAGAGAAGCCCCAUUUAGAGAAGUAGGCACCUUCCACCCGAUCUUCUUGACUUUGUUGACCAACUUUUGACUUAUCAAUUAUUGGCUCCAAUAGUGUACCAACUUUUGGAGAUGAAACAACUUCAAAAUCAGGCAUUUCUUCAUCAACUUCAUGGAUUAAACUCUUCCUCUCCACAAAAGUAGAAGCAACAGCUUUCUUGUCACGCUUGUGGACUGUUGGCAGCUGAAUUUCUUUGGAUGCUUGGGCAGUCAAGGAUACCACUUGAGAAAUAGGUGACACAUCAUCAACCAUCCUUCUAGAAAUUUUCAGAUGAACUAGCUUUGAACGCUUGGUAGGGUAGUCCUGGUCACCAUUGAGAAAUGGGCCUUCCUUUACCAUAUAUGGCUCUUCAAAUUCCUUUAUAAGAAACCCAUGAUGUUCUAAAAGGCUUUCAAUGUCUUCUUCCUCCAUUGCAAGCCAAUUGGCAACCUGGGCAACAGGGAGACCCUGAUUAUUUUGUAGACCACAGUGCAAAGAAGCGAGUGCCUGAGUUCGUAACUUUGCAAAGUGGGCAUGCAUUAAGCAUGAUUGAAGGUAUCUUGCCUUUCUUGCAAGUCGAAAGAAGGCAACAAAAUUACCAGUUCUACAGGCCCUUGCUACAUCACGAGCAAAUAGCACUUCCGGGGUUUGCCUUAUCUCUGGAGACAUCUUUGCAAGAUCCAGAGACAGCUCUGCAGGUUCAACUUUAUAUCCAGGAUGCUUGUCUAGUUUCAGAAGCGCAUAAUAACCACGAAAUUCUUGUUCUGUUGGAACAUUAAUUCCUUUCUUCCUGUGGUCAUCAUACAUUUGAAACAGUUCGACUGAAGUCUUGUUCAUCUGUUCAAUAUUUAGGUGUGCAUCAAAUCCCUCAGAAAAACCCUCUCCUUUCGUGUAUUCACACAACUCGUGCAUAGCAAUUAUAUGAAGCCGUAUCUGACAUCAGAGUUGAUCAACAGCAGCAUUUAGUCAACAGAAUAAUAAGAUCAUGCUCCAUGCAUAACUAAUGCACAUUGUCCAAUAAUAAAAAUGGCUCAACAGAUUUCAAUGCUGAAACAAAGAUAAAUCAAUAGAAACAAGUGUAACAAGAUGCAUUAGUUAGUUGGCCUAUCAGAAUAGCUCAAAUAUAUCAGAAUACUAGUUUAUUUGGCCUGUUAGCUAUCACAUAUAGGAUAUAGGAUAUAAGCACACGCCACCAGGCUAUUUAAGUUUCUUAAAACUCCAAUCUAACAAAAAAAUAGCAAUCAAUGCAAUUAAGCAAAUAAUUAUCAAACCAUAUAAAAUUGAAGCACAACAUUUUAUGUUCUUGCAGUAUUCAUUCAUUGCAUCACAAUACAAUAGUUGCCUUAUUGCCAGGGUAACAUUUUCUCAUGGACAAAUCAUUGUAAUAUUUAAAGUAUGAGGCACUAAUAUAAAUUAGCCAUUUUAUUACCAUCAUAACAUUUCUAGAGAUUUCAGCUUCAUAACAAUGCAAUGAACCACUUGGGCAUACUCUACCAUGCCAAAAUUAUCUUUAUUUUUUGAAAACCCCACAAGUAUCACCAAAUCCAUUUGUUCAGCCAAGAGGCACCUCAAGUGCACUUAAGUGAAUGCACAUUUCCAAGGCCCAAAGGACUAAAAGCACUUCCCCUGUUGGCGCCUUGCAAAACAUUGUAAACUAACCAACUUUAGCUGAUGUUUAUAGCCAUGGAGCCACCAUUUGCUCCAACAUGGUUAUUGCCUCCUGGUUGAAAAUGUGCUGCAUCCGCAGAUCCAUUCGGAUUGCUCUCAUCCUAUCCCACAAGAAAUUAUAUAUGCCUAGAAACCUAUCAUCGUAAGGCUGAUCUAGCAAAUUGAGCAGAUAAUCAAUAGUCUUCUGCAGGACAGGCAUUGGACGUAUAAGACUUGCUUCCCUCUCUGCUGUUCUAUUAUACUUCUUAACAGCAAUAAAUUUGUUUGUUUGAUUUCUAUCGCCAUCCAAGCGUUCAUACUGGUCAAGAUCCCCUUUCCUUUCUCGUUCACCCCUUUCUGACUCAGGGCACAUAUCUGGACACAACCCAAUAAUAACAGUGGAGCUUUCUAAGCCAUCACAAUCAGAAGAAAUAAUGCCAUUGGAGAAAUCCCCUGCUGAUUCCAUGGAGUGACUUCCAGCUAAUUUUUGCCUUUCCACUAUAGACUGCUCACGUCCACUUGCGGAAACCUUUUUUUCAGCAAUAUCUGGUCUAUUUUCAAAACUUUCACUUAAUUCUUCCUUAAAGCGAGCUAAUCGCUUUGCCUUGGCUUGAAUCUCUCGUUCAGCACCAUCUUGAUAGGAAUAAGAGUUUCCCUGAAAUGCUUUAUCAGGAGCAGGCAAUGGAGGUGACCUUGUUCUUUUUGCAACAGAGUAGUUGGUGGUCCUGGUGGGAGCAGCAUCAACAGCAACAUUGUUUGCAGUUGGAGAGGUUCUUUGAGGAAUUUGAGAAUCAGAUGUACUGGAAAGAACAUUUGACCUAGCACCCAAACUAGGAGGAGAUGUGGACGACCUUCUAGAUUCCUUCUGGAAAACUCCAUUUGCAGGUGAUAUAGGUGGUGACCUAGUUUGCUUUGGCACAUGGACAUCUACAACAUCAUUCAUAAAACUUCUUGCAGAACCAUGAGAGCCUACAAAUGGAGAGACUGGGGAUUGGUCUUGAUGAGCCAAUAGAUUGGGAUAAUCAUUCACCAACUUGUGCUGAUUAUCCCAUGGAGAUGGAGAUAAAGCAGGCCUUUGAAAGAAAGUUUGUCUGGAAUUUCUAGAAAUAUCUUCAUCAGAAGCUUGUGAAGGAGGUGAUCUGGUCCUCUUUAACUCAGGAAAUCUAGAAAUCUUAGCUGUGACACUAGUUCCAGAAUUCCGUGCAGCAACAAAUGAAGUGACUGCAGAAGGCCGCAGAUUUGUUUGGUCAUUAUCCUUGGAAAAAGAACUCUGAUCAUUAACCCAUUGAGAAGGCAACAAAGCUGGCCUGCGGGCUCCAAAAUAUGGAUAUGCAACAGGAUGGGUGCUUUCAAAGGACAAAGGAGGUGAGCGCACUCUUUCAAGAGCUUCAGGUCUCCUAGGAAUUCCAGCAGACUGGGAAGCACUAGCUGCAAGACUGGAGUAAGACAAUGGCGGUGACAGCACUCUCUCUGUAGCUACAGGACCCCUAGAAGCUCGCACGGGGCUAGAAUGGGGAAAGGGAGUUGAUUGAGGAGGAAGAGGAGAAGGGGAAGGAAGGCGAGCAAAGUUCCCAAAACGCGAUGUUUGUGAUGACGUCGGUCCUUGUGGUCCUGACUGCUUUCCGAACCCCGACAUUGCUGCUCCUGCUUCGGCUGCUUCUUCUAUAAAUCGAUCGAUAAAUAUUUGGCUCUCUCUGCGCGAAUACAGAAAGAGCAGCGGGUGACGCUUUUCUGAAACUCCGUCGUUUGAAUUGAAUCGAAGCCAGAUCCUAGUAGCAACAGUAAGCUGUAAGCGAAUGAUUUCAGAAUCUAUACGACAUCGCUUUAAUCCCUCGGCGUCGGCUACCGUCCGCCAGAGUAAGGCAAUAGCGGCUGAAGUGCAAUAGUAUUCUGUAUUUUAUGUCGUAUGAAC
Molecule: unclassified non-coding RNA, 5937 nt
Filed under: Hevea brasiliensis (rubber tree)
Lineage: Eukaryota; Viridiplantae; Streptophyta; Magnoliopsida; Malpighiales; Euphorbiaceae
Source: RNAcentral